GCGCCCCUAGCUCAACCGGAUAGAGCAUCUGACUUCGAAUCAGAAGGCGAAGGGGGUACGAGCCCUCUGGGCGCA
This 75-nucleotide transfer RNA is filed under the name Gemmatimonadaceae bacterium. Its description in RNAcentral is "tRNA-Arg". It matches the Rfam family "tRNA". From Rfam's summary of the family: Transfer RNA (tRNA) molecules are approximately 80 nucleotides in length. Their secondary structure includes four short double-helical elements and three loops (D, anti-codon, and T loops). The record is from RNAcentral. Lineage: Bacteria; Pseudomonadati; Gemmatimonadota; Gemmatimonadia; Gemmatimonadales; Gemmatimonadaceae.